GCUUGUCUCAAAGAUUAAGCCAUGCAUGUCUUAGUGUAAAUAACUCUUAUGAAACUGCGAAUGGCUCAUUAAAUCAGUUAUCAAAUACGUGAUGGUCGCCUACUACAUGGAUAACCGUAGUAAUUCUAGAGCUAAUACAUGCGUAAAUACCCAACUGCUUGUCGGACGGGUAGCAUUUAUUAGAUUGAAACCAAUGCAGCUUCGGCUGGUAUUGUGUUGAGUCAUAAUAACUGUGCGGAUCGCUUUUUAAGCGAUAAAUCGAUUGAGUUUCUGCCCUAUCAGCUUUGGAUGGUAGGAUAUGGGCCUACCAUGGCGUUAACGGGUAACGGGGAAUUAGGGUUUGAUUCCGGAGAGGGAGCCUUAGAAACGGCUACCACAUCCAAGGAAGGCAGCAGG
RNAcentral lists this ribosomal RNA (396 nucleotides) under uncultured Saprolegniales. Its description in RNAcentral is "partial small subunit ribosomal RNA". It matches the Rfam family "Eukaryotic small subunit ribosomal RNA", at positions 30 to 432 of the family's 1831-position model. Lineage: Eukaryota; Oomycota; Saprolegniomycetes; Saprolegniales. The record is from RNAcentral.